GGCUCAGUAGCUUAGUUGGUAAAGCACACGUCUUGCAUACAAAAGUCGUGGGUUUGAGUCCCAUCUGAACAC
This is a non-coding RNA of Aedes aegypti (yellow fever mosquito), 72 nucleotides long. NCBI's taxonomy places the organism in Eukaryota, Metazoa, Arthropoda, Insecta, Diptera, Culicidae. The record is from Rfam.